Grammomys surdaster is the source of this 2551-nucleotide RNA transcript. It is a transcript of the gene named troponin T3, fast skeletal type, with no coding region annotated. NCBI's taxonomy places the organism in Eukaryota, Metazoa, Chordata, Mammalia, Rodentia, Muridae. The transcript has 10 exons. The record is from RefSeq and is a predicted model, not a curated record.
GGAUACAGGACUUCUGGUCCCCAUGUGGAGCUCAGGGUCUGGCUGGAGCCAUGUGGUGUGGGGAAGAGGGCAGGAAAGCAAGGUGGCGCCAGCCAACCACAGGGCCCCCCAUGUGGCCCCACAUAACCCACUAAUCAUGGCCAACGCUUGACCAAAGAGAAUGAGAACUCCAAGAAUACCUGCAAGAAUCCCUUCACAGCUGCUCUAAAUUUUGCCAGAUGUUUCCAAUACUAGAGAGGGCAGCCUAAUACAGGAGUUGUGAGGGAGACUAUAGAGCCAGGUAUGGGUUAAGUCUCCUUCUCCAGUCAGUGAAAGCCCAUGGUGAUGACCAAGACCUUUGCUAGGCCAGAUCCACUGAGCCAAAUGUCCAAAGAGCUCAGGUCAUUAUGGAGAGAUGCAGGACUAGUCAGAGGCCCUGCUUCAGACCAAGGCCUCCUCCCUAGUCAGUUUCCCUAGCCAGUUGUACUCCCCAUCAAGCCAAUCACAGGCCCCAUCUCAACCCUCUUUAAGGGUUAUAGCAUGCAGAGGACCAAGGAAAGGGCUUUAGCACCUCCCUUUGGGGUGGCAAGAAAAGAAGUAUUUGGAAUGGAUUUUGCUCCCCUUGGGUACUAGAGCCUCCAAGUAGGCUUCAACUCUAGACUGGGCCCCAGCAGAGGGCAAACAGGAGAUGGGCAGAUGAGGGAAGGAACCAAAGCAAGAGCCAGAGUCCCAACCCUCAACUCAGUUUCCCAACUUGUGAGGCAAAACACACUGGGGGUGAGUUUGGUUCUCUUCAACUCCUCUUAUUCCCAAGUUCUGAAUGGGGACCCAGAAUCUGGGCUGUGGGAUUGAGGGUGUCGUGACCCCAGCUAACUCUAACAGUAUCUUGCUCGCUUCCUGCACGUAUCCCACCCCUCGGUGACCGGCUGUUUCCUUUUAACCUGGAUCCCUUCUCUGACCUCUGACCCGUGGUUUUGCCUCUUGUUCCGUGGCCCUCCUUAGCCCCCGAACCAGGUAUGUGACGUGACUUCAAUGCCACAUGACAUAUGUGUCCAUGUGUGGGUGUGUGCAGGAGCCAGCCAAAAAGGAACAAGAGGGUGCCAUGUAACUUACCCAUCUCUACUACACACCUGUGUGUCCCUCUCCCCCUCUCCCACACUGCCUUCCAUUCAUUCAUUCUCUCUCCUCCCUCCCUUUCUCCUUCCCUGGUGCUGCUCCACAGAGGAAGUCCAAGAAGAGGAGAAACCAAGACCCAAACUUACUGCUCCUAAGAUCCCAGAAGGGGAAAAAGUAGACUUCGAUGAUAUCCAGAAGAAGCGUCAGAACAAGGACCUCAUGGAGCUCCAGGCCCUCAUUGACAGCCACUUUGAAGCUAGAAAGAAAGAAGAAGAGGAGCUAAUUGCACUUAAAGAGAGAAUUGAGAAGCGCCGUGCAGAGAGGGCUGAGCAGCAGAGGAUUCGCGCUGAGAAGGAGCGAGAACGCCAGAACAGACUGGCGGAGGAGAAGGCCAGAAGAGAGGAGGAGGAUGCCAAGAGGAGAGCCGAAGAUGACAUGAAGAAGAAAAAGGCUCUGUCCUCCAUGGGUGCCAACUACAGCAGCUACCUGGCCAAGGCUGACCAGAAGAGAGGCAAGAAACAGACAGCCCGGGAAAUGAAAAAGAAGAUUCUCGCAGAAAGGCGCAAACCUCUGAACAUCGACCAUCUUAGUGAUGACAAGCUGAGGGACAAAGCCAAAGAACUCUGGGAUACCUUGUACCAACUGGAAACUGACAAAUUCGAGUUUGGGGAGAAGCUGAAACGUCAGAAAUAUGAUAUCAUGACUGUCCGGGCCAGAGUGGAGAUGCUGGCCAAGUUGUGAGUAGGCAGAGCCUGCUAUAGGCCAGGCUUGUGGGUGUGCAAUGCUCAGCUAGCAUCUCGCAUGGCAAAGAUUUGGGUUGUUGAGGACACUGGUGGCAAAAGGCCUUUCCUUCCUGCCCCAGCUCCUCCCUCCUGACUUUAGCUGGUGGCUAUGAGGCUGGCCCAAUGCCCUUAUUGGCAGAUGAGAAAGGAAGGCCCUUGCCUUCCUAGAGGUCCACUUGGUGCCAGAGCCUCUGGGCCACCAAGUCAGGAGUAGGUACCAUGGACCAAGGAGCAGGACGGUCGGGAUCAGGAGUCAGUGGUGGAACUUAGAAAGGUCUAAAGGCCUUACUUCCACCCUGUCCCUUGUCCCUGCCUGCAUCCUGCUGUAGCCACAAGGUAAGUGGCUAGCUGGGAGCUGCUGUGUGUGGUAGCUAGAGAAAACAAGUCAAGACACAGCCCAAGGACAAAGAACAGUGCCCUCUCACUAAGGAGACAGUAAGGAAAAUGGUAUAGGAGACUGUGUCCCUAUACAUCGGGGAUGCCACAGUUGGCCUGCCCUGUGGUGAAGACCUGUGUCUCCUGGCCAGUGCCCGGCUGGGCUUACAAGAUCCCUGUCACAGUAAGUCACCUGUGUUGUUACAGAUCACCACCCUCAGGAGCCGCAUUGACCAGGCCCAGAAGCACAGCAAGAAGGCCGGUGCCACAGCCAAGGGCAAAGUCGGUGGGCGCUGGAA